Molecule: long non-coding RNA, 343 nt
Filed under: Dunaliella salina
Lineage: Eukaryota; Viridiplantae; Chlorophyta; Chlorophyceae; Chlamydomonadales; Dunaliellaceae
Description: long non-coding RNA (DSAL_LNC000427)
Source: RNAcentral
CUUCCCAACUCAGAGACCAUGCCAUCCAAAGAUUAUCCACCAUCAUUAACACAAGACAUGCACUUUGUCUUCAGGGAGCAUCUGGGAGGGGAGGGUUUGCUGGGCGCGCGGCGGCGGCUGAGGAUGGAAGAAGGAGGGUCCGAGCGCACAGGGGCAUGGCGGCCAAUCCCCCAGAUCCCCCGGGGUACCCAUUAGUUCUGUUUCCUGCUCUCUCCUAGGCUGGUUUUGUCUAGUUUAGGUGGAGGGCCUCUUGGUGAGGCCUCUAACUUUUGUUAGGGGUUCUUCCCUUAAUGCACGCGGCCUCGAGACUGCGUAGACUUUUCUUUUCUUUUCUUUCUCUUUG